Molecule: ribosomal RNA, 250 nt
Filed under: uncultured bacterium
Lineage: Bacteria
Description: partial 16S ribosomal RNA
Rfam family: Bacterial small subunit ribosomal RNA
Source: RNAcentral
UACGGAGGGUCCAAGCGUUAUCCGGAUUUAUUGGGUUUAAAGGGUGCGUAGGCGGUUUGAUAAGUUAGAGGUGAAAUCCCGGGGCUUAACUCCGGAACUGCCUCUAAUACUGUCGAGCUAGAGAGUAGUUGCAGUAGGCGGAAUGUAUGGUGUAGCGGUGAAAUGCUUAGAGAUCAUACAGAACACCGAUUGCGAAGGCAGCUUACUAAACUAUAUCUGACGUUGAGGCACGAAAGCGUGGGGAGCAAAC